This 75-nucleotide transfer RNA is filed under the name Bacteriophage DSS3_MAL1. Its description in RNAcentral is "tRNA-Val". It matches the Rfam family "tRNA". From Rfam's summary of the family: Transfer RNA (tRNA) molecules are approximately 80 nucleotides in length. Their secondary structure includes four short double-helical elements and three loops (D, anti-codon, and T loops). The record is from RNAcentral. Lineage: Duplodnaviria; Heunggongvirae; Uroviricota; Caudoviricetes.
GGGUCCUUAGCUCAGGGGUAGAGCGCUUCCUUGACAUGGAAGAGGCCGCUGGUUCGAUCCCAGCAGGACCCACCA